AAUUGAAGAGUUUGAUCAUGGCUCAGAUUGAACGCUGGCGGCAGGCUAACACAUGCAAGUCGAACGGUAACAGAGAGCAGCUUGCUCUCUGCUGACGAGUGGCGGACGGGUGAGUAAUGUCUGGGAAACUGCCUGAUGGAGGGGGAUAACUACUGGAAACGGUAGCUAAUACCGCAUAACGUCUACGGACCAAAGUGGGGGACCUUCGGGCCUCAUGCCAUCAGAUGUGCCCAGAUGGGAUUAGCUAGUAGGUGGGGUAACGGCUCACCUAGGCGACGAUCCCUAGCUGGUCUGAGAGGAUGACCAGCCACACUGGAACUGAGACACGGUCCAGACUCCUACGGGAGGCAGCAGUGGGGAAUAUUGCACAAUGGGCGCAAGCCUGAUGCAGCCAUGCCGCGUGUAUGAAGAAGGCCUUCGGGUUGUAAAGUACUUUCAGCGGGGAGGAAGGCGUUGUGGUUAAUAACCACAGCGAUUGACGUUACCCGCAGAAGAAGCACCGGCUAACUCCGUGCCAGCAGCCGCGGUAAUACGGAGGGUGCAAGCGUUAAUCGGAAUUACUGGGCGUAAAGCGCACGCAGGCGGUUGAUUAAGUCAGAUGUGAAAUCCCCGGGCUCAACCUGGGAACUGCAUUUGAAACUGGUCAGCUUGAGUCUCGUAGAGGGGGGUAGAAUUCCAGGUGUAGCGGUGAAAUGCGUAGAGAUCUGGAGGAAUACCGGUGGCGAAGGCGGCCCCCUGGACGAAGACUGACGCUCAGGUGCGAAAGCGUGGGGAGCAAACAGGAUUAGAUACCCUGGUAGUCCACGCCGUAAACGAUGUCGACUUGGAGGUUGUGCCCUUGAGGCGUGGCUUCCGGAGCUAACGCGUUAAGUCGACCGCCUGGGGAGUACGGCCGCAAGGUUAAAACUCAAAUGAAUUGACGGGGGCCCGCACAAGCGGUGGAGCAUGUGGUUUAAUUCGAUGCAACGCGAAGAACCUUACCUGGUCUUGACAUCCAGAGAAUCCUGCAGAGAUGCGGGAGUGCCUUCGGGAACUCUGAGACAGGUGCUGCAUGGCUGUCGUCAGCUCGUGUUGUGAAAUGUUGGGGUUAAGUCCCGCACGAGCGCAAACCCUUAUCCUUUGUUGCCAGCGGUCCGGCCGGGAACUCAAAGGAGACUGCCGGUGAUAAACCGGAGGAAGGUGGGGAUGACGUCAAGUCAUCAUGGCCCUUACGACCAGGGCUACACACGUGCUACAAUGGCGCAUACAAAGAGAAGCGACCUCGCGAGAGCAAGCGGACCUCAUAAAGUGCGUCGUAGUCCGGAUUGGAGUCUGCAACUCGACUCCAUGAAGUCGGAAUCGCUAGUAAUCGUGGAUCAGAAUGCCACGGUGAAUACGUUCCCGGGCCUUGUACACACCGCCCGUCACACCAUGGGAGUGGGUUGCAAAAGAAGUAGGUAGCUUAACCUUCGGGAGGGCGCUUACCACUUUGUGAUUCAUGACUGGGGUGAAGUCGUAACAAGGUAACCGUAGGGGAACCUGCGGUUGGAUCACCUCCUUACCUGAAAGA
RNAcentral lists this ribosomal RNA (1549 nucleotides) under Cronobacter sakazakii SP291. Its description in RNAcentral is "bacterial SSU rRNA". It matches the Rfam family "Bacterial small subunit ribosomal RNA". The record is from RNAcentral. Lineage: Bacteria; Pseudomonadati; Pseudomonadota; Gammaproteobacteria; Enterobacterales; Enterobacteriaceae.